UCGCUCUCAGGAUGGCACCUGGAGAGCUUCCAGUCCUCUACCAGUCUCGGCUAUGGGAAGGAGAGUCAAGCAGAGGCCUACCCAUUCCAUUCCUAGCUUGGCCAGUGGUUAACGAGUGGAAGACAAUCUGCUACAAGG
Tachyglossus aculeatus (Australian echidna) is the source of this 138-nucleotide small nucleolar RNA. NCBI's taxonomy places the organism in Eukaryota, Metazoa, Chordata, Mammalia, Monotremata, Tachyglossidae. The record is from RefSeq and is a predicted model, not a curated record.